UCCCUGGUGGUCCAGUGGUUAGGACUCCAUGCUCUGCUUGCUGAGGGCCCAGGUUCGAUCCCUGGUUGGGGAA
This is a non-coding RNA of Globicephala melas (long-finned pilot whale), 73 nucleotides long. NCBI's taxonomy places the organism in Eukaryota, Metazoa, Chordata, Mammalia, Artiodactyla, Delphinidae. The record is from the annotation of a RefSeq genome assembly.